Molecule: ribosomal RNA, 774 nt
Filed under: uncultured Neocallimastigales
Lineage: Eukaryota; Fungi; Neocallimastigomycota; Neocallimastigomycetes; Neocallimastigales
Description: partial large subunit ribosomal RNA
Rfam family: Eukaryotic large subunit ribosomal RNA
Source: RNAcentral
CAUAGCGACUAUCGUGGCAUAUCAAUAAGCGGAGGAAAAGAAACUAACAAGGAUUCCCUUAGUAACGGCGAGUGAAGCGGGAAGAGCUCAAAUUUGAAAUCUUCAAGGUUUUACCUUGACGAAUUGUAGUUUAAAGAAGUGUUUUCUGUUGAAGUUUUGGUAAAAGUUCUUUGGAAUAGGACAUCAUAGAGGGUGAGAAUCCCGUAUUUGACCAUUAUUUUCAGCUGUGUGAUACACUUUCAAAGAGUCGGAUUGUUUGGGAAUGCAGUCCAAAAUGGGUGGUAAAUUUCAUCUAAAGCUAAAUAUUGGCGAGAGACCGGAUAGCGAACAAGUACCGUGAGGGAAAGAUGAAAAGAACUUUGAAAGAGAGUUAGACAGUACGUGAAAUUGUCAAAAGGGAAGCGUUUGACACCAGUGUUGUUUUUCCGAAAAUCAAUUACGAAUGUUUUGUUUUUGAGGAGUUAUGACUUCAUCGGCUUGCUCCUUUCUUUACGAAACUUUCUUAAUGCACUUUUCGGUUAACAAGUCAACAUCAAUUUCUUUUGUUGUAAAAGGGUAUGAGGAAGGUGGCUUUCUUUUCGGAGAAAGUGUUUAUAGCCUUGUGCCUCUGCAAUCGGAGAGAUUGAGGUUUGCAGCGUAGAUCCUUCGGGGUUAGAUACAUUUGUGCUAAGUUAUAGCUUUUCAUAGACAACUUGUUGACUAUAUUUAGUCUUGUAGCUUACUCGCUGAUGCUAUUUUACCUACGCUUAGGAUGUUGAUAUGCAUGACUGAUAU